UUCUUUUUUGGCAAAACUGAGGGGGUGAUCCAUCGUCCAUGGUCUAAUGAGGUGUUGCAAUGCAAUUAGAAGUCCAAUAGCAGACAGUGAUGCAUGGUCAACAGUUGGCAGCGAUGGAUGGCCGAUGGUGGUGACUAGUCGGCAAAAAAAAUCAUAAAAAAAAUUUAGAAAACAAGGGAAUUGGGGCCCUUUUCUCUUCUCUUUAGCCGUUGGCUGCUCACUAACGGCCAUGACUUUGUUGGGAAGGGCCGUAGGGUGGUCGGGAGAUCCGACCAAAGGUUUAGCAUCAGGGGGUGGCAAU
RNAcentral lists this long non-coding RNA (301 nucleotides) under Elaeis guineensis (African oil palm). RNAcentral describes it as "long non-coding RNA (EGUI_LNC016525)". Lineage: Eukaryota; Viridiplantae; Streptophyta; Magnoliopsida; Arecales; Arecaceae. The record is from RNAcentral.